Molecule: long non-coding RNA, 344 nt
Organism: Neopsephotus bourkii (Bourke's parrot)
Lineage: Eukaryota; Metazoa; Chordata; Aves; Psittaciformes; Psittacidae
Exons: 2
Source: RefSeq, a predicted model, not a curated record
UCGGGGCCGGAGGCGGUGGCAGGCUCCCGUGCCGAGAGGCUGCUUGCAGGCGGCCGGUCACCGAUAGCUCAUCUGCUUCCGACGGGACGAGAACUGGCCGUUCUCCCCGGGAUCCCUUCGAGUCACCCUGGAGACAACCCCCUGCCAGCCGAACCCGAACAAAAGCCGCGGUGCCCCUUGGCCGAGCAACAGGCCGGAGCAGGCGGCGGCGUAGGGCUCGCUUCUUGACCGGGGCUCUGGAAGGAGACGCGGGACCGAGCCAGCGAGCGCCUUGUUUACCCGACAAUCGCUCUAACCCCCGAUCUUAAUCACAGGAUGAGAAACCAAAACAGUUUAAACCGUGA